Rattus norvegicus (Norway rat) is the source of this 4364-nucleotide non-coding RNA. The record is from RefSeq and is a predicted model, not a curated record. NCBI's taxonomy places the organism in Eukaryota, Metazoa, Chordata, Mammalia, Rodentia, Muridae.
CCUUCCUAACGGGAGGGGAGUGAGUUGGACACGAGGGCAGAGAAGAGUCCCUUUUCAGAAGUUGUGAGAGCCUUGUGCAUGAAACGAGGGUCUUCCUAGAGGGACACACACACACACCCAUCUGUCCUUCCUGGGCCAGUGUCUGCCACAAGGCUCUCACCAUGGAGCUUGGGCUGAGGAGGCUGAGGACACUGCGACUUUGUCUGUCACAGGACCUUGUUAAGUAGGCCAGUGAGUCACCAGGCUUGCUGCACUCCCCCACACUGGGAUGUUGUCUUUCUCACCCCACCCCCAGCUCCCAGAACACCCAGGCUCCUGCUCAGCCUUCAGGAAUCUUGCUUGGGCUGGUCCCGGCGUCCCAGAAACUCAAGAUGGGCGCUUAGGGCCUCCCAGAGAAGAUGAGGCACACUGACGGAGAAGAAGGGUGACUGAUUGGAUUUUGCCUUAAUCGGCAAACCGGCAGAGGCACGCUUUGACUUAUCCCGGCACCCAAGGUUGAGGUGUGCUUCGAGGACUUCCCAGUCAAGGACUUGAAAAAGUGCGUUUCCAGGCAGGUAAUCGGGCAGAGAGGGCACCCCAGUGGCGUGGUGUGGAAGCACCAGGAAAGGAGGAGGAGGAGGAGAAGGAUGGAGUCCACCAUUUCGAGUGCCGAAAACAGUCAAGAGCAUCAUCGGGCUAACUGCAGCACGUGAGGCAGCUUUCCCGGGAGGAGGGUGGGAAACUGGGCCCCUGAACGUCUUCCAGUCGGGAGGUGGCUGGCAAUUGGAAAAUAGCUCGCACGCACGGCUUAAGACUUGUCAAGUGGCUCGCCCUGUGGCAGAAAGACUUGGGGAUCCAUUAACUGGGGCCCCAAAGGCUUCACUUGGGUCAGAAUGUCGCGGAUGGAACGGCACGGCACUCUUCCAGGGCUGUUGGGGCCACAGGGCUUGAGAACCACUGAGGGGACAGGCUGAGGAGAGCCAUUCAGACCCCCAUUCAAUGUGGAGGAGGGAACAGAAAGGCAGGGGUAGCCGGAAGAGCUAGAUUUGCUGCCGCAGGGCUGAAGGACGAUUUUGCCAGUGGAGACGGAAGAGCUUCCCCCGCUAAUAGAGUUGGUGCCCGGUGAGGAGCAGGGCCCCUGGGAGGCACCACCACUGCAGGGGUGGUAGGAGGUACUGGAGCCGCUGGAGGUGAUCUGAAUUCUCGUACCAGAGCAAGGCCCCUUAGAGCCGAUCGAGCCAGUGCCACAGGGCUGGACCCCGCCAGAGCCCACGGGCUGGAACACUAUGCCCGAUGGGUAGGCAUUGGAGCUGCGGCUGGGAAUGAUGGGAUUGCUAGAGAAGUACUUGCCCUCAGAGAUUGGGGGCCCAGCGGCAAAGGAGGGGGACCCUGGCGAGCCUCUGAUAGGGUUGUCCUUAGUGAAGUAGCCCACGGGGUAAAUUUUACCCCCACUGUAGGUCAUGCCGGGGACCAGAUAACUGUCGGCAGAGCCACCUACCACCUCAUAGCCGCCAUAGGGUUUCUGGACAGAGGUGAUGGGAGGGCAGGGCUUGCCUGAGGGGCCGCCAUUGCUACAGGGCAUGCCUUGAAACCCUCCAGGGCCACCAGAGCCAUGUUGCUCCACCACCACCACUACAGGUCUCUGGCCACCCGAAACGGUGUGGGAACCGGAGAUGUAGGGCCCUGAGUGUGUGAUGACAGGCCCCCCGCUGCAGGGAGAGUCGGGCACGUUGGAGCUACAAGGCCGCUGGUUGGAGCUGCUGCUCUUAGAAGUAUACGAGCCUCCAGACUGGACAGUGCCUGAUGUCAGGCGGGAAGAAUUGUCAUCCGUCGGGAGAGCAGAGCCAUUUCCUGGUCCCUCUCGGCUGCUUCCUGAACUUCCGGACUGAGAACUACUGCUUACCCAUUGAGAACUGCUGCUUACCCAUCUUCCUGACUGAGAGCCGCUGCUUCCUGACUGAUAGCCGCUGUUUCCUGACUGAUAGCCGCUGCUUCCUGUCUGAGAACCACUGCUUCCUGUCUGAGAGCCGCUGCUUCCUGUCUGGGAGCCGCCAGAACCAAAAGAAUAGCUACUCUGGGAAUACCCUGUCCCUGGUUUAAAUAUCAAGGAUCCUGAAGAACUUCCCUGGGAGCUGCUGGAUCCACCCUGGCUGCUGAUGCUGCUUGUGCCUCCGUGGCUGCUGAUGCUGCUGGAUCCACCCUGGCUGCUGAUGCUGCUUGUGCCUCCGUGGCUGCUGAUGCUGUUGGAGCCAGUCUUUCCAAUGAGACAAGGGUCAUUCGGAGAGGUGAUCCUCGUGGGGUCCUUACAGGGGUCCGAGAAGGGCCCAAUGCUCUUAGCCAAGGUUCCUGGGGAUAAAAGCAACGAUCUGUCAGGUCCUUUCUCACCCAUCAGCCCCAUACCUGACAUCUGCCCAGUAUCCCCCUAGAGGAACCCAGGCAAGUUCAGAGGUAGAGGAAGGAAACCCUGGCUAUUGUCUAUGAAGGAAGUGGGGGUGGCAGGAACAGGGAAGUUUGGUUGUCCAAGCAGUGGGGGAUGAGUCGAGGAGCUCAUAGGUUUCCAAGAAAAACAGAUGCUGGAAACUCUGACGUGGUAGGUGUUGAAGGAGUCCCCUUCAGAUAGUUGGGAAGGGGACAGAAAAAGUCAAACAAGUGGGGAGGCUGAAGCUUUGGGACAGGACGGAACAAAGAGGCUGGAUUGGAGAGAUGGGUUAGGAGCACUGACUGCUCUUGCAGAGGUCCUGAGUUCAAAAUCCCAGCUCACGACCAUCUGUCAUGGGAUCCAAUGCCCUCUUCUGGUGUGUCUGAAGACAGCUACAGUGUACUUAUGUAUAAUAAAUAAAUAAAUCUUUUCUUUUAAAGGAGGAAGAGGAGGAGGAGGAGAAGAGGUGGCAGUGGGGGCAGCCAAGCAGGGUUUAGAUGCCUUGGCUUAGCAUGCACAAGUCCAUAGAUCUGAUGGGGAAGGGGGUGCUGAGUCAGGAAGGAAACAUAUGAGCCCAGGAAAAGAGAAAGGGAGAGCAGCUUACGGAAGAGGAGCACACUUAACAGUUGAUACCCAACCACCAACUCCCUAGCGAGAGUCCAGUCUGGAUAAGGGGUGACAUCCCUGCUUCUUGUCUCAGCCGUGGCCAUACCAGUAAAUCAGGGUGGGGGCCGGGAUGUGGGGGCACUCACCUGUUGCUUCAGAACCUGCCAGUACCAGUAUGACAGGACACUGCUGCACCCUGAGCCACCCAUGUUCUCACUGUCCCAGCCCAGGGACAGAAGUAUCAGCCCUCCUCCAAGCCACAUGACCAUUAUCAGUCUCUCUCCCGGCCCGGCCUUCAUAUGCACCCGCUGCCCCCGUUCCCCUCCACAGUGACUCUUGCUACCUUCAGUCAUCCACUGACUCCGCUCCCAGCCCUAUGCUCCUUUUCCUCAGUCCGUCUGCACAGCUCUCACCUAAGUGCCUUCUGCCCACCCCAGCCCCUUCAGAGCUACACAUCAGCAAGUGACUACUAGCCUUUUCAGGUUUAUGUAUCCAGAAAGGCAAAGUCUGCCGUGGCUCCCUUCAUUGUCACCAUGAAGACCAUGUGACAUCUCUCUGGACCGUAUGUCCGAAAACAGCAAACUAGACAUCGAAGUGUGUAAUUAAUACUCAUGCAGACAGCUACCACCAGCCACCUCCCAAAACCUCAUCUUAGAAAGAAAAGCUCUGAAUGCCAGACGGUGGUAGCACAAACCCUUAAUCCCAGCACUCAGGACGCAGAGGCAGGAUCUCUGAGUUCAAAGCCAGCCUGGUCUACAGAGUGAGUUUCAGGACAACCAGAGCUACACACACACACACACACACACACACACACACACACACACACACACACUAAUAAUAAUAAUAAUAACAACAAAAGAAAGAGAAUAAAAAUAUCCCUACAAUAAACCCUCCCCUUGCCUUUGUCUCUUUACCCUUAACACAGACCUCACCAGCCGCCCAUGGGCUCAGAAUCCUGGAUACCCUGCUUCUUUAAGUGCAAUCUCAAGUCCGUUUUCUGACCUCUCAGGCCUUCUGGAUCCUCAGACGCAGAGUGGGAAUAUGGAGUCUAUCAUGUCUAUCUCAGAAUGGCAGUGUAUUUAAAGUGCCAGCUACAAUGUAGCAUUUAAAAGGCUCUGAGCUGAGGGUGGUACAAGCCUGCAAUCCUCCUAGCUCUCAGGAGGCUGAGUCUGAGGCGAGGCUGGGCCUCAAAGCACGACCUUGUGUCUAAAAAGAAGAAAAAGAAAAGAAAGAAGAAAGAAAAGCAAAAAGGGACCAGAGGACCUAGAUCACUUAGCAAGCAUGAGGGCUGGGGUUUAGCUCCCAGAACCUCAGUAAAAAUAAAUCCAUAAGAAAAAUAAACAAGUUAAUACAUCUAAAA